UGCUGCGGUGUGGACACGCUGCGUUUCUCGAGGGGUAUUCCAGAAAGCGGGUUUAGUGAUAACUCUGAGUAUGUUAACCCUGAGAUGAGGGAAACUCUGGGUUUUCAGUUCCAGACAGAGAGGUAACUGAAACUCUGAGUCAGUCACCAUGGUAACAGACUCUGUGAACAUAACCUGCUCGCUGACAGGUUUCCUUCAAUAAACCCUGAGUUUCUCUCUGUCUCCUCCCUCUUACACGUUGUUUCAUUUCCUCAUUCAUUCAGUCCGUGUCAAAGCUUGUAUCGAAGCGCAUUCAUUAGCGGAGAUUUACCGUCUGUCACAGUCUAAAUCCUGCUGGAUAUUAGUUUGUUACUCAGGACUGUCUGAAGUUACUGAAUUUAUGCACAUCAGUCAUUUCUUUGGACAUCAGCUUUUGUCUUUACAUUCCAAUAUUACACAGCGAGAAUUCACCCUCAGCUCAGAAUCAAACCUCUGUCCUUUUUAUAUUUAUUAUUUUUAUAACACUGUGCACAAGGAUCAGACUGUCAGUCUGUCAGAGCAGCUCCCACAUGUUUAUUGCACAUAAUGUGUAGGUCUAAUUAUUUAAAUGUUAAAAUGGGUAUGAAGCUUUAGACACGUAGUAUCAGUGACUAAUGAUCUCUAUCACUGAUGUCACUGGUCGCACUGAUGGAACAUAACUCCUAUAGCCUAAUAUUGGGGAUUAUAUGUUCAUAUUUCUGAGUGAGCAAUGGUGCAGCAUUUCACUGUCUUUACAUUUACUGCAUUUGUAGCUGAAAUAAAGUCACUGAAUGCUGUUGAGUCAAGAUACAAAUAGAUGUGCAACAUUUUCAAAUCUACUGUAUUUUAACCUCAACGUCUUUUCAGGUGCAAAUCACCAAACAUAUUAUUACUGGGUCAGACUGUGAGUUUACAGUCAUGUCUUUAUGUCUUUGAUCUAUAGCCUAGCCUAUAUGUUUGAAAUCUUCUGCCUCCUGUGUUUUUCCCCAUCAGAUCAAAUCUGAACAAAUAUAUUAUGAUAUAUUAUUAAUAUAAUGUAAUGUAUCUACAGCCUGAUACACAGUCAGAUUCCACCACUUUAUCUUCAUUAAGGAAAUGUAAGUCUGAUAAAUGAUGAAUAAACUUUUUUAUUAACUUUAUGGUUAACUUAUUGACACUUUCCUCGCUCUGACUCAGGCUCUUCUUUUAAAGAUAAACGUGCACCGUCUGCUACACAUGCAUUAAUAUCUCUACAUCCACUGGAUUAAAAUGGAGGCGCUGUCUUUUAUUUACCUGUUGCCAUGGUGAAUCGUGGAGUCGGAGCUCCAUUGAUGAUGGCUUUUUAUUGUUGGUUUAACUUGACUGAACUAACUCAGAUCAGCUGUUCUGGAACCGGAUACUCACAGUUUCCCAUCUCAGAGUAAAUCAACUCAGAGUUCAGGGUUAGACUCAGAGUUUGUUGAACCUCCUACCUGGAAUACCCCUCUGAUGUUUAUGGAGUGUUUGUGUUAGAUGCUGACACAUAAACAGGCUGUGUCUCAUGAUAGCCUUGAGAGAAACCCGUUGGAUGUCAUCUAGUUAACGUUCCGCCGUUAACACUGUUUGUGCUCCGGAACAGAUGCACACAAUAAAGGCCCCUGAAAGAGAUUUCUGUGUCCUGUGCUGAUCCAACUCCACCAGGCUACAGAUAUAUAUUGUGAAAUGGUUUCACUGGUCCGGCCCACUUGAAGUCAGACUGAGCUGUCUGUGGCCCCUGAACUGAGCUGGACAGACGACCUCCCUGUCAUAUAUCUGUACUGCUCCUCGGCUGGUGUUUCUAAGGUGUGAUGGUGAAGGCGGGGGCCCAUCGAUACUCACCUGCUUGUAGUCGGAGCGAAACAUUGAGAGUGGUCUGGACGAUGCACAGCAGGCCAAAGCUGACUCCCACCAACCACAAGACUUUUGACCCUCCUGCAGGAAGAUACACACACACACACACACACACACCAUAACUUUAUUAUUACUUUGAGGAAGUGGUUUUUGUCCCGCGUCAUUAGAUUCAGUUAAUUCCUUUUAAUAAACUUCAGCUUUAUGAAGCACCUUCAGUUUUCUACCUCAAACACAAAUACUAACAAUCACAUCAUAUUUUAGCACGUCCUCCACGACUCUGUGUUUUAUGUCUGAGAAUAAUAACCAAUGAUGAUGUUCAGCAGAAGAACAAAGAGGAAGUGGCUAUAAAUACAGAUUUCUAUGAAAACGACCAAAACUAUCACUGACGUCACAGUUAUUAGGAAUAAACUAACAAACCUUACGUGUGAUUAUUUUUAUACAGAGCGUGUAAAGUCCUGAAAGGAAAACUUUUCAUGAGCUGAGUGGGUGGUGAGGUCGUUGCAGCUUCCAAAUAAGUUCAACAGUAUCUGCCCACAGACGCCAUAACAGGAGAUAUGAUGAACUCACUGUCUGUGGUUUAAAGAGGCAACAGACAGCAUCUUUUCCUAAAUAUAUCAUGAUGAAAAUAAUGUGGGUUGCACAGGGUAGUGUCCACAGUAAAAGCAGACUAUCAGCGUUUACAUAGGUUACUUAGUGGCUUUGCAAUCUUUGCAAUAAGCUUCUGUCAUGUGUUGUGAAACUGGUCAGUCAGCCAAUCAGGGACUGGAGCUGGUCCUUAUGAGGAGCUGGGCAUGAGAUAGUUGAGUCACGAGCACAAUGGCAGACGGACAAAGUUUGGAGACAAGUGAAAAACGGCCUAGCAAAAGAAAAGGAGCUCCUCUGUGUGCAUUCUGCUGUAAUUAUUUGCAUUACUAUUUGUUUUUUCUUCAGAUAAAUCUGAUAAUUGUUGCUCGGUCUCUUUACUCAUUUAUUUAGUAGAGUGUCCACACACCUUCUCAUUCUACAUAUACAUAGAGGUAUACUGGUGGCUUUACAGCCUGCAUUUUAUUCAUUAUCUCUGAUCCCCACGAACAAUUUGGUCGUUGCGACAGUGCGAUGCAACACCACUGACGCUAGGUGGCGCCAAGCUAAAAAAAACAAAUCCCACCUGUUGCCUCCUUAACUGUACUCACUGUUUGAUGAUCAGGGUGCUGUGGUUGGUUUAAGAGUCAGCUGAUUUGCAGGAUGAUGCUAUCAACUAAUUGUCUUGACUGUUGCAUUUA
This is a long non-coding RNA of Epinephelus fuscoguttatus (brown-marbled grouper), 3107 nucleotides long. RefSeq lists it as uncharacterized. Lineage: Eukaryota; Metazoa; Chordata; Actinopteri; Perciformes; Serranidae. The transcript is spliced from 3 exons. The record is from RefSeq and is a predicted model, not a curated record.